Molecule: RNA transcript, 1487 nt
Organism: Pecten maximus
Lineage: Eukaryota; Metazoa; Mollusca; Bivalvia; Pectinida; Pectinidae
Gene name: tyrosine--tRNA ligase-like
Exons: 2
Source: RefSeq, a predicted model, not a curated record
AUGAUUAUUUUGAACUGACAUGAUUCCAUUUUACAAUAAAAACCAUCUAAAUCUAUUGUAAUUUACGGAAAAUGACCUCCGUACAACUUAUCAGACAGUUAUGGUUGUGACGUCACACUCUCUAGAAAGUUCCGAGAAUAGAAAGUGAAAGCAGUUUAUCAUGGUAGUAUUUUUAGUUCUAGCAACAAAACAAAACCUUUAUUUUACUACUGUUAUGAAGACAUCAACUCAGAAUGAUUAUUUUGAACUGACAUGAUUCCAUUUUACAAUAAAAACUAUCUGAAUCUACUGUAAUCUCCAAAAAAUACCCUCCGUACAACUCAAGACAGUUAUGGCUGUGACGUCACAGUUCCGGGAAUAGAAAGUGAAAGCAGUUUGUCAUGGUAGUAUUUUUAGUUCUAGCAACAAAACAAAACCUUUAUUUUACUACUGUUAUGAAGACAUCAAUUCAUAAUGAUUAUUUUGAACUGAGAUGAUUCCAUUUUACAAUACAAACCAUCUAAAUCUACUGUAAUCUGCAAAAAAUGACCUCCGUAACACUGAGUCAGUGAUAACUUGAGCAUCAAGAAAUCAAUCUCCGUAAAUCAUGAUAAAAACAGCUUCAUUCUAUAAUAAGAGCUAAGCUCUUCGGGCAGCGAAGCUGCCCGAGCGAAGCUCUUUACCGUUAACGUGCACGUAUGUACAGUAUUCUAGUCCAGCUUCGCAUUACGUCGUACGGGAUGAUACAGCCUGAAAAUUUUCUGCCGAAAGUGAGCGUGUGUAACCCGCUCCAUUUGUCUGCAGAAACUGUAAAUCCAGUUGGUGUGUUCAUAAUGCUGACUUAUUAUUUUUGUAAAAAAUAUCUGUUAUAGUUUGCGAAUAAAAUGUAGCUCGAGUUAUGGUUUCGAGGACGGAACUGGGAACAUUCGGAGCAUAUUUCCGAUGAUUGCCGAAAAUGUAUCGAGAUGUUGCACCCUCCAUGUCGUUCCUAGGCAACGUGGUUGCUAUAUAAAUCUAGCCAAUCAGAUCGCGAGGUCGAUUGUCCGCCAUUACCUCCGUCAACUUGUCGGACCUCAGUUGAACACCGCGAGAAUACAUAUGUAAACAGAAAAUGAUGAAAACGUGCUCGUGGGGAACUGGCAACAGUUACCCCCGAUACCCUGAUAGAUUGGAGGGCGGUGUUGUAUAUUCUACAAUUCAUGGAUCCUAAAACAUACAGCUUUGGAAGUUUUGUCAGCAGCAGCUAAAAUAAAGAGGCUAGAACAACAACUACAUAGAUAUGAGCUGCUGAAUUUGCACCAUGAACAACAAAAUACUACAUCUUUCUGAAGUGUUAUAUUGAUAGUGAAAUUAAGCAGAAAUAAAAUUGAUUGACAUCCUGAAUUGUAACUGUUGUCUAGAUUUUUUAUCCAUCCUGGAUCAACUUCUGGUUAUAACUAGACAUACCAUUGUUAGACCUGUACUGUACUGCACUUUAUAGUUUUAUUUACUAUACAGGUUUGGGUAUU